AUGUAUAUGCCUUCAACAUAAUGUAAAUGCAUUGGAUCCCAUUACAACUCUACAAUUAAGCGCGCUCAGGCUAGAGUACUACUGGGAUGGAUGACCUCCCGACAAUUCCUAAUGUUUUACAUU
Picea glauca (white spruce) is the source of this 123-nucleotide non-coding RNA. Lineage: Eukaryota; Viridiplantae; Streptophyta; Pinopsida; Pinales; Pinaceae. The record is from Rfam.